GAUGAACGCUGGCAGCAGGCUUAAUACAUGCAAGUCGAGGGGCAGCACGAGUGUAGCAAUACUGUUAUUGUCGAGCGGCAAACGGGAGCGGAACAUGUAUGCAAUCUAUACAAAACUGGGGGAUAGUCGGGGAAAAGCAGGAUUAACACCUCGAAACCUUGUUAAGUAUCAUUAAUUGGUAAAAAAAGCUCCGGCGGUCUUGGAUGGGCGUGGGCUUGAUUAGGUAGUUGGUUCGUGGAACAGCCAACCAAGCCUGCAAUCAGGAACUGGUGUGGGAGCACGACCAAUCAGACGGGCACUGCGACACGGGCCCGAAUCCUACGGGGGGCAGCGGUAAGGAAUAUAGGUCAAUGAACGCAAGUCUGAACCAGCCGUGCCGCGUGAAGGAGGAAGGUCCUCUGGAUUGUAAACUUCUUUUAUGGGGGACGAAACCCGGAUAUUCUGAUCCGAUUGACGGUACCUCAGGAGUAAGCACCGGCUAACUCCGUG
RNAcentral lists this ribosomal RNA (489 nucleotides) under uncultured bacterium. RNAcentral describes it as "partial 16S ribosomal RNA". It matches the Rfam family "Bacterial small subunit ribosomal RNA", at positions 28 to 507 of the family's 1533-position model. The record is from RNAcentral.